CGCGUAGGCGGGUUACCAAGUCCAGGGUGAAAUCUUUCGGCUUAACCGGAAAAGUGCCUUGGAUACUGGUAGUCUCGAGGGAGGUAGGGGUAUGUGGAACUUCCGGUGGAGCGGUGAAAUGCGUUGAUAUCGGAAGGAACGCCGGUGGCGAAAGCGACGUACUGGACCUCUUCUGACGCUGAGGCGCGAAAGCCAGGGGAGCGAACGGGAUUAGAUACCCCGGUAGUCCUGGCCCUAAACGAUGGGUACUAGGUAGUAGACUUUCAUGGGUUUACUGCCGAAGCAAAAGUGGUAAGUACCCCGCCUGGGGAGUAUGGUCGCAAGGCUGAA
Molecule: ribosomal RNA, 330 nt
Filed under: uncultured bacterium
Lineage: Bacteria
Description: bacterial SSU rRNA
Rfam family: Bacterial small subunit ribosomal RNA
Source: RNAcentral